Molecule: non-coding RNA, 406 nt
Filed under: Schistosoma margrebowiei
Lineage: Eukaryota; Metazoa; Platyhelminthes; Trematoda; Strigeidida; Schistosomatidae
Description: Eukaryotic small subunit ribosomal RNA
Rfam family: Eukaryotic small subunit ribosomal RNA
Source: Rfam by way of RNAcentral
AGCCUUUCAGCCGUAUCUGUGUUAAACAGGUGUUGGUAGCUUGACGAGUUUGUCUUAUUCACCUAUCUAUUUGAUUUCGGAUGCCGUAAAACAGAUGUCGGGAGCGGACGGUAUGUUUACUUUGAAUAAAUUUGAGUGCCCAAAACAGGACUUUGCGCCUAAAAAUUAUUGCAUGGAAUAAUGAGAUAGGACUUCAGUUCUAUUUUGUUGGUUUUCAGAUCCGAAGUAAUGGCUAAGACGGACAGACAAGGACAUUUUAUAAGGUGGUGUUAGAGGUGAAAUUCUAGGAUCGCUGCCAGACAAAUUACAGCAAAACCAUUUGCCAAGAAUGUUUUCAUUGAUCAGGAGCUAAAGUCAGAGUUUCGAAGAUGAUCAGAUAGCGUUAGUAUUCAUCUUCAAUUAUUCU